ACUUCCUACGGGAGGCAGCAGUGGGGAAUAUUGGACAAUGGGCGAAAGCCUGAUCCAGCCAUGCCGCGUGUGUGAAGAAGGUCUUCGGAUUGUAAAGCACUUUAAGUUGGGAGGAAGGGCAGUUACCUAAUACGUGAUUGUUUGACGUACCGACAGAAUAGACCCCGGGCC
This 171-nucleotide ribosomal RNA is filed under the name uncultured Pseudomonas sp. Its description in RNAcentral is "partial 16S ribosomal RNA". It matches the Rfam family "Bacterial small subunit ribosomal RNA", at positions 334 to 499 of the family's 1533-position model. Lineage: Bacteria; Pseudomonadati; Pseudomonadota; Gammaproteobacteria; Pseudomonadales; Pseudomonadaceae. The record is from RNAcentral.